This 626-nucleotide long non-coding RNA is filed under the name Phoenix dactylifera (date palm). RNAcentral's name for it is "long non-coding RNA (PDAC_LNC014860)". The record is from RNAcentral. Lineage: Eukaryota; Viridiplantae; Streptophyta; Magnoliopsida; Arecales; Arecaceae.
AUUCUACACUCAUAGAGGAUUCCAAAGAGAUAACAUGCAUCAUCAUCGGAGGCCGUUUGACCCCCUAAAUAAUUCGCCGAAGUUGGGACUUCGACACAGUUUUUCCGUAGUGCCGGAAAAAUUUGUUAAAAUCCGAUUCUUCCUCUUUUAACCACCUCUACAACCCUUAUCCGACCCCUCUAGACUAUAUCCACCCUUUGUAUAGCCUAAUGUCAUCAAAAGACUAGAUAGGGAUGGAUAUUUACCUUUUUCUUUUUGGAAAUCGAGGUCCUUGCGUAGAGGAGAAGGAGAUCUACGUUUUUCUCUUCAGCUGGAAGUGCAACCGGGAUCCCUUUCCCUUUCUUUUUCUUCUUCCUCUUCCUCUUCUUUUCUUCCUUUCCUUUCCUCUUCUUCUUUUUCUUCCUCUCUGUCGCCUGAGAACCCCCUCCCUCUUUCUCUCGGUUUCAUUCCAAAAGCCAGCUCAAACCCUCCAAUUAAAUCACAUCAAGAUACUAUUCACCCUUUUUUUAAUAUUAUUAAAUUCCCAUUUUGCCCCUAACACUUCAACAUAUCUACGGUUAUGCCAUUAACUUUUGAUUCCUUCCAAUUUUACCCCUUAUAUCAAUUUUAAAGGACUAUUCUAUCCC